GGUAAACACCAGUAUGUAAUGGUUUGGGGUUGGACCACAAUUCCUUGGUUGUAAUCGCACGCGCAGGGAACUCCAUUCUCGCCUUGCCGAUCAGAGGAGUUGCUGUAAGGCUUUUUACGUGCAGCUGUAUUUCGGAAAGUUGUAGUUUCAACGAUUUCAUUGAAGAUAUCAUGGCAAAUAAAUCAUGUAAAGCGAAGUCAAACUCUAAAGUGAAAAAGUGAGACAGAUUUUAAGUUUGAGGAAUCUUGGAGUGUUAUGAUUCAAACGAACUGAGGAGCUGUUUCUGCAAGGACAGGACGUACUUCUGGACGGUGAUAGCGACUCCGACUGGGGGCUGUCCGCUCUACCUGUGCCUCCAGUGGUGUUCAUAUGCCACAGUUCAUUACUGCAGGCAUGACUGUGCCUCAGGGCCAAAAGGGCACAGCAUGGAGGCGUCGUUGUGUUCUGUGUCACAUGAAAUGCACCACUUGUUCAGUUUGCCUCUGCUUUACAUCAGAAAGAGACUGCUAUGGGACAUGGCACAGGCAGCAAAAUAUUAUGACGGGGACUUCCAAAGGGGUGUACUGUUUUUUUGUUUUUUUGUGUGUGUUAGAAUUGCUUUUUGAUACGUUGUAUAUAGUUAUAGGUCAUUUCACCAAUUCGGCCACAUUUGGGCAACUUGUGUGGGACACCUGGGUGACUUCAUGCUAAAUGUCAUGUAGCUCACCCAUUCCUGAAGUUAUCAGUCUGAAACUUCGCAUACCUACAGUUGCCCUCGUGUUAUCCAUCAAAAUUAUCUCCAGCAUCCUAUUCUAGUACAUGUGAAAGAUACUACAACAAUAAAAAACAAAACGUA
Molecule: long non-coding RNA, 835 nt
Organism: Oncorhynchus nerka (sockeye salmon)
Lineage: Eukaryota; Metazoa; Chordata; Actinopteri; Salmoniformes; Salmonidae
Exons: 2
Source: RefSeq, a predicted model, not a curated record